This 253-nucleotide ribosomal RNA is filed under the name uncultured prokaryote. RNAcentral's name for it is "partial 16S ribosomal RNA". It matches the Rfam family "Bacterial small subunit ribosomal RNA", at positions 525 to 777 of the family's 1533-position model. The record is from RNAcentral.
ACGGGGGGGGCAGGCGUUGUUCGGAAUUACUGGGCGUAAAGGGCGGGUAGGCGGCUUUUCAAGUCGGGCGUGAAAUCUCCAGGCUUAACCUGGAAGGGUCGUUCGAUACUGUUAAGCUAGAGUGUGGAAGAGGCUACUGGAAUUCCGUGUGUUGCGGUGAAAUGCGUAGAUAUACGGAGGAACACCUGCGGCGAAGGCGGGUAGCUGGGCCAACACUGACGCUGAACUGCGAAAGCUAGGGGAGCAAACGGGA